This 225-nucleotide ribosomal RNA is filed under the name uncultured bacterium. RNAcentral's name for it is "partial 16S ribosomal RNA". It matches the Rfam family "Bacterial small subunit ribosomal RNA", at positions 15 to 232 of the family's 1533-position model. The record is from RNAcentral.
GAUCCUGGCUCAGGAUGAACGCUAGCUACAGGCUUAACACAUGCAAGUCGAGGGGCAGCGGGAUUGAAGCUUGCUUCAAUUGCCGGCGACCGGCGCACGGGUGAGUAACGCGUAUCCAACCUUCCGUACACUCAGGGAGUAGCCUUUCGAGAGAAGAUAAUACCUGAUGGUAUGAUGAGAUUGCAUGAUAGCAUCAUUAAAGAUUUAUCGGUGUAAGAUGGGGAG